CAGCCGCCGCGGUAACACAGAGGGUGCGAGCGUUAAUCGGAUUUACUGGGCGUAAAGCGUGCGUAGGCGGCUUCUUAAGUCGGAUGUGAAAUCCCUGAGCUUAACUUAGGAAUUGCAUUCGAUACUGGGAAGCUAGAGUAUGGGAGAGGAUGGUAGAAUUCCAGGUGUAGCGGUGAAAUGCGUAGAGAUCUGGAGGAAUACCGAUGGCGAAGGCAGCCAUCUGGCCUAAUACUGACGCUGAGGUACGAAAGCAUGGGGAGCAAACAGGAUUAGAUACCCGCGUAGUCCCUGUCUCUUAUAC
This 301-nucleotide ribosomal RNA is filed under the name uncultured bacterium. RNAcentral's name for it is "partial 16S ribosomal RNA". It matches the Rfam family "Bacterial small subunit ribosomal RNA", at positions 509 to 807 of the family's 1533-position model. The record is from RNAcentral.